UACGGAGGAGGCAAGCGUUAUCCGGAAUUAUUGGGCGUAAAGCGUCCGCAGGUGGCACUUCAAGUCUGUCGUCAAAGACUGGGGCUUAACCCUGGAAAGGCGGUGGAAACUGAAGCGCUAGAGUGCGGUAGGGGUAGAGGGAAUUCCCGGUGUAGCGGUGAAAUGCGUAGAGAUCGGGAAGAACAUCGGUGGCGAAAGCGGCUCUCUGGGACGGUACUGACGCUGAGACGCGAAAGCGUGGGGAGCGAACAGG
This 253-nucleotide ribosomal RNA is filed under the name uncultured bacterium. Its description in RNAcentral is "partial 16S ribosomal RNA". It matches the Rfam family "Bacterial small subunit ribosomal RNA", at positions 524 to 776 of the family's 1533-position model. The record is from RNAcentral.